GAGAAACGGCUACCACAUCCAAGGAAGGCAGCAGGCGCGCAAAUUACCCAAUCCCGACACGGGGAGGUAGUGACAAUAAAUACUGAUACAGGGCUCUUUUGGGUCUUGUAAUUGGAAUGAGUACAAUUUAAAUCCCUUAACGAGGAACAAUUGGAGGGCAAGUCUGGUGCCAGCAGCCGCGGUAAUUCCAGCUCCAAUAGCGUAUAUUAAAGUUGUUGCAGUUAAAAAGCUCGUAGUUGAACCUUGGGCCUGGCUGGCCGGUCCGCCUCACCGCGUGUACUGGUCCGGCCGGGCCUUUCCUUCUGGAGAGCCCCAUGCCCUUCACUGGGUGUGCGGGGGAACCAGGACUUUUACUUUGAAAAAAUUAGAGUGUUCAAAGCAGGCCUUUGCUCGAAUACGUUAGCAUGGAAUAAUAGAAUAGGACGUGUGGUUCUAUUUUGUUGGUUUCUAGAACCGCCGUAAUGAUUAAUAGGGAUAGUCGGGGGCAUCAGUAUUCAAUUGUCAGAGGUGAAAUUCUUAGAUUUAUUGAAGACUAACUACUGCGAAAGCAUUUGCCAAGGAUGUUUUCAUUAAUCAGUGAACGAAAGUCAGGGGAUCGAAGACGAUCAGAUACCGUCGUAGUCUUGACCGUAAACUAUGCCGACUAGGGAUCGGGCGGUGUUUCUAUCUUGACCCGCUCGGCACCUUACGAGAAAUC
Molecule: ribosomal RNA, 697 nt
Filed under: Angustimassarina populi
Lineage: Eukaryota; Fungi; Ascomycota; Dothideomycetes; Pleosporales; Amorosiaceae
Description: SSU rRNA
Rfam family: Eukaryotic small subunit ribosomal RNA
Source: RNAcentral